Molecule: ribosomal RNA, 407 nt
Filed under: bacterium enrichment culture clone ALO1_GLFRUDD03FRQ5W
Lineage: Bacteria
Description: bacterial SSU rRNA
Rfam family: Bacterial small subunit ribosomal RNA
Source: RNAcentral
GAGUUUGAUCUUGGCUCAGAUUGAACGCUGGCGGCAUGCCUUACACAUGCAAGUCGAACGGCAGCACGGGAGCUUGCUCCUGGUGGCGAGUGGCGAACGGGUGAGUAAUGCAUCGGAACGUAUCCUGGAGUGGGGGAUAACGUAGCGAAAGUUACGCUAAUACCGCAUAUUCUGUGAGCAGGAAAGCGGGGGACCUUCGGGCCUCGCGCUCUUGGAGCGGCCGAUGUCGGAUUAGCUAGUUGGUGAGGUAAAGGCUCACCAAGGCGACGAUCCGUAGCAGGUCUGAGAGGAUGAUCUGCCACACUGGAACUGAGACACGGUCCAGACUCCUACGGGAGGCAGCAGUGGGAAUUUUGGACAAGUGGGGGCAACCCUGAUCCAGCCAUGCCGCGUGAGUGAAGAAGGCC